AGGAGGAGGAGGAGGAGGCGCCCCGGCCGCCGUUGCCACGUCCCCGACGCUUCCCCAGCCGUCGCCUUGUCCACCGGCGCCCUGGCCCCUUCACCACCGCCGCCCUACGACGCCCACUAGAGAAGAGCCAGUCGGAGCGGCACCGGAGUACCUCGGCGACCCCGAUCGCCUUCCUUGCCGCUGCGGGUCUGCCUGCACCGCGUCGCCUCGCCACUGCACCGACCCGCCACGGCCCCGCUAGCCUGACUCCACCGCCACCCUAGAGGAUGGAGGACCGUGAGUGGAUGUACACGGGCCGCGCAAGUCAGGGUCAGGUCACCAAUGAAUGGAUCGACAAGACCGAUGCUUUCUUGGAACGGGCAUUUGGCGUGGCUGCUAAAGAAGC
Long non-coding RNA from Phragmites australis (common reed), 385 nucleotides. RefSeq lists it as uncharacterized. The transcript is spliced from 3 exons. The record is from RefSeq and is a predicted model, not a curated record. NCBI's taxonomy places the organism in Eukaryota, Viridiplantae, Streptophyta, Magnoliopsida, Poales, Poaceae.